Dreissena polymorpha is the source of this 1754-nucleotide long non-coding RNA. RefSeq lists it as uncharacterized. The record is from RefSeq and is a predicted model, not a curated record. Lineage: Eukaryota; Metazoa; Mollusca; Bivalvia; Myida; Dreissenidae. The transcript is spliced from 3 exons.
AUUUUGCAGGGGAAUUUGUGCCACCCAGUUGCUGUGUAUAUGAAAACAGACUGGGCCAGUAUCUGGACCUGCAAAAAUGUCAGUCAUUCGCAUUUGGCCCACCAAGAAUGCAAACUGGGGCGCAGAAUAACGCUCUUCAUUACAGGGGUUGUUACUCUGCUGCAAGAGAGAUUGUCAUUAAACAGGCAAACCUUGUUAUCGGCAUCGUAUUCUCGUUCUGCGUAUUUCUGAUUACUGGUGUUGUGGUUGGAGUUUUGUUUAUCCGUAAGUUGGGUGAGACAGGGGAAAUGGAAUACUAAGUAUGAUGGUGAAUGCUUUUCUUUCAUAUUGCUGGUAUUGUGAUGGGCGUUAUAUUUAUAUUGAAGUUGAAAGAAAGUGACCAAGGGGAUUAUAACGUGGGUAUGGCUGACAGAGAAUAAUAAUAAUUUGUAUCACCAUAAUAAUAAUAGAUAUCACAAUAGAAGUAGAACGAAAAAGGAAUUUGUUAGAAAAAUGGAAUAUGUUUUAAUUGAAGCAAUCUGUUUGUUGUAACCAAUUGCUCUAAGAUUUGAAGAUUAAAUACAAAUUGAUUUAUUUCAGAAUUAUGAUACAAACCAUUUAGAAAUUUGAAAAAAAGGGUUUUUAUUUGGAAUCAAUGUAAAGAGUUACAGCCUUUUUUAAAAGCUUUUUAUUCUGAGUGAAACAGCGAGUGAUGGAAAAUCCAUGCAUUGGGAGUUUCCUACUGCAAUUAAGUUUUGUGUGACCUCAAUUUCUGGCAGCAAUAUUUUAAGCAUACACAUGCAAAAUUAAACAUUCCAUACAAAUCUAUUUGCAUGUGUUUAUAUAUGUUACAGUACACCAAGGGCUUAAGCAAUGUGCUGUUUUAAGCACAAAUAGUUUUAAAAAAUUUCAGGAGUAUAUUCUGGAUUUUGCAUACGAAAGCCUCCAGAUAGCUUACCAGUGCUGGGGCGAUAGAAGAACAAUACGAUUUCUAAUUCGAAAUUUACGAAUAUUUUUGCUCCAACUUGAUGGUAAAAUACUGGAAAAAAAUGUAUAAUACUAUACGUGACUAGACAGAAUACUUAUUACAACAUAGAAACAUAUCAAAAUUGAACUCUUAAACACUUUAUGACUAGACAUAUUAAUGCUUAUCCUGUCGGAAAAUAUACUGAAUUACGAAGACAGUAAUUAAUGAGUAAUAUAUACUUUUACUUUGAAAAAGUAUACAACAUUCUAUGUUAAAUCUGAACUAAAGCAAUCUUAAUAAACAAGAAAUUCUAAUAAAGCUAGGUACGAGAAUGACAGAGUGCGAAUGAUUCGCCAAAACUAAAAUGACGGGAUUGUACACAGUAGGAGUGAUGACAGAAAAAAAUAUACUAUUGUAAAGUAGGGAAUUAUACAAAAUAACGAAAACGACCAAAACUCACACCAUAAUUGGCGAUAAACGAAAAACAAUUGUGAAUAGUGUUGAGCAAUCGCCAUACGGUGUAACGAACACGAAGGCGAGGCCAAACCGCCCAAAGCAGUUUAAGUAACGAUAAGUAAUGAGCGGAAAGUGAAGAGACGAAGCGCCUCCCGAAAGGGUUCUAGAUAAGGAACACCGAACAUCACAGAGUAUGCAUUAUGUUUUAUAAAUCUAGUGUUCAAAAUGUUCAUCAUUCAAAACAUGUUUCGUGUUGACAUGAAUGUUCAUUAUAAGUAUGCAUGCCUUAGUUGUCUAUGUUAGGUUCAUUGAUUUCGUAAUGUUACUCCAUGGGAAGUUUGUUUUAAUGAUC